UACGUAGGGGGCAAGCGUUAUCCGGAUUUACUGGGUGUAAAGGGAGCGCAGGCGGCAUUAUAAGUUAGUGGUAAAAUAUUGGGGCUUCACCUCACUACGCCAUUAAUACUGUAGGGCUAGAGAACAGACGAGGUAGGCGGAAUAAGUUAAGUAGCGGUGAAAUGCAUAGAUAUAACUUAGAACACCGAUAGCGAAGGCAGCUUACCAGACUGAGUCUGACGCUGAUGCACGAGAGCAUGGGUAGCGAACAGG
Molecule: ribosomal RNA, 252 nt
Filed under: uncultured Odoribacter sp.
Lineage: Bacteria; Pseudomonadati; Bacteroidota; Bacteroidia; Bacteroidales; Odoribacteraceae
Description: partial 16S ribosomal RNA
Rfam family: Bacterial small subunit ribosomal RNA
Source: RNAcentral